GCAAGCUCUCUGGAACUGCCUGUGCAGUAACUUUGUGCAGCAUUAUGGAGGUCACCCUAUCUGUGCUAUAUCUCAUGGAGGUCACCCCAUCUGUGCUAGAUAGUGUGGUGUCUUAAUGCACACCAGCUUCUAACCAAUCAGAAUCCAGUAUUGAGACUGACCAUGGUGUAAUACAUUAUGAUCAACUUUGUAUUCUGCUUACAUGUGACUGCUCCAGAAGAUAUAUUGUUGUAUAAUAAUGAAAUGUAUUGUAUUUAUUGUUUUAUUAUAGACUAUGUCUUUACUGAGAGACUGUGAGGGUCAGCUUUUAACUUUUUUGCAUGUAAACCAUUAUUAUCAGCAGUGGAGUGUCAUCAUAUACUACAUUCACAGUACACUAUAGACUGUAUGUACAGUAUCUGGUCUUAUUCCACUCUUAAUUAACAGGGACACCACUUCAGCUUGGAGGGACGGACUGUGGGAUAUUCAUGUUGAUGGUAAGUGGUCAUAUAAUUGCUAUACCAUUGCCUCUGUGUGUGCUAAACACUGCAUUUGUUAAUAUAACAUCAGAGUUUUGAUUUUGUAUUUCAGUACGCCCUGUAUGUGACCCUUGCAAAGCCCUUUGAUUUUUCAGCUGUGAGUUUUUAUCAAUUUAUGGUUAUUUUUUUCAGCAAAAGGACCGUAAACACAACUACAAUUUUAUGAUUAAGAUUUUCAAUUGUCAUCGUUUAUCAUUCUGACAUGCCUGUAAUCAGGAGGUGGCGGUGCCAUCAGUUACUACAGGCAUUUCCUCUGGCAAGUCAAGUCCAACAGUCAGUCACCAAACAAACAAUCUUACUGGAGCUAAACAUCAUGGAGGUCACCCCAUCUGUGCCAGACCUCAUGGAGGUCACCCCAACACAGAGAAUCCAUGUAUAUACAGGGAAUGUUUAUGUAUUGUUUGACUAUUGUUUGUUUAUGUAAUUACCUUUCUUGUUUCAUAAAAGUGUUUGAGCAGCACUUGACUAAUUACAUGAUUAUUGAAAUGUCUUAUCUUUUUGUACAAAGGACUCGGCGGUGAUGAAACUCUGCUUGCCUGUGAGUGGGUGGAGGAGAACAGACCCCACUUUGCUGGGAAAGUUCACUUACCACGGAUCAUGAGGAUGAACGAGGAUGAUGCCUUGUUGGCCAUCACAAUGCAGGACCUGUUUAUCAACACUAUUUUUUAUGAAAGUGAAAUGGACGAAGAGAAAAUCCAGGCUCCCUUCCUUUUCACCUUCGAGAGAUUAGAGGACAUGGAGUUUUUCAUGCAGGAAACAUACGAUAAAAGAAAUAUUCAUGUGUCUUGCCUGCACAACCCUCACCGCUAACAAGCUAAUUAGUGGGGUAGAUCUGUGAAAAAAAAAUUUAUGUGUAGUUUUAGGUUUUGUAAAAUGUUUUUUUUUACCCAUUAAAGUGUUGUGGGGAAAAAAUGUGUUCUUGAAAUCUAAUAUACUAAAAUUUUAUUUUGUAUCUUUUAUCAUAUUUUUUUUUUUUUUUCCUAGAGUGAAGAUUGAUUUUUAUGUUAGAUGUACAUUUAGCUAAUAAAGCCGAAUAGAAAUAAAAUAAAUUCAGCAACACUUGAGGGCAGUGGAGUAUGUGACUAAUAAAUUGUAAAUUAAGUAACACUCCCAGUCUACUACCAAAUGUUCAUGGAGUUGGUUGUCUUUCUGCCAGUCUCAGAGCACAUGUGUCCUCUUGUUUUGUUCUUUAGUGUGACACAUGGCUGUAUUCAGACUACAAGACAAGGUGCUUAUUGUCACGAUUCCCCCUUGAAGCAGUGUGCUCUAUGUGCGAAUGCGCGAGCACCUGCUUUUCCGUUGUUGACCGUAGUGACAUCUGGACACGUGUGUUUUGUUUAUGUUUCUGUCGUGUCUCCUCCCUGUUCUGUCAUUGGCUGGGAUUUCACGUGGGUCUGUAUUGCUCUCAGCUGCUAGCGGUUUAGACGCUGAUCAUGUCCGCAUAUAUACCGCGCGCCUCCCAGCACACAACGCGGAAGAUUAAUGUCAUAGAGUUAGUUUAGUUCGUGGCACAGUCACGAGUUCGUUCGCGCUGGAUUAUCCGCUUCCAGUCCCUCGUCAUAGUUCGUUUCUCGUUUUGUUUAUCGACCCUGUUUUCCGUGACCACGACCUAGAUUCCAGCCUUGCCCACUGUUUGCCUGUUUGCCAAUCGCCUGACCUCUUGCAUGUUUGUGGAUCACGUUUUGGAUUUGUCUGCCUGUCUCUCUUUCAAAUAAACAACUGUUCAUCCUGCACUUGCAUCCGUCCUAUCUCUGCUCCGUCACGAUUCGUGACACUUAUUACCAUUUGAUGAAGACAAUCACAUGUGGACCGAGUCCAUCCAACAUUAUAUUCACAUAUUUCCAUCUAAAUUAUAUUCACAAUGAUACUCUUGUUGUACAUGCAUUCAUUUUUCUUUCAUGAUUGGGAGACCCGAAGUGUACAUUUAAAAGCAACAAAAGAGAUAAGACAAGCAGAUAGGUGAUCAUUUUAUUUAUUUAUUUAUCACACCUGCAAGGGCAACUCAGUUCCCAUGUUUAAAAGCAAAGAGCAUAUUAGGAGCACACUUUAUUACAUUAAUGAAUCACAUAUGACUUAGGAAAUUCACAAAUAGCCUACAUAGCCUUAAUACAGUGGGGAAAAAGAAAGUAGUCUAGUCGUGCAGUUUGUCACAGAAACAGUGCAGAAAAUUCAUGAAAUCAUGAAAAAUGUUAAAGAUAAGGCAAUAUUAGCUAUGCCAGCAUCUCCAGUUCCAUGCAAGUCUCAUGGUUACUUUGACCUAACCUUCGUGCAUUAACAAUCAACAUUUUUUCCCCUUUGAGUAAGUUUGAUCUAAUGAAGGGCUUGCAUUGACGUUAACAGCCAGUAGAUGGCGAAAUGAGCCAUAGAGGUGGAACUAGACUAGAUCCAUAAAUUACUAGACUAGAUCAAGAGAGGUGGAGCUAGACGUCCAGCUCCAUCUAUUUGGCUCUGCAGUGAGCAGUAGUGAUGGGAAGUUCAGACCAUUUUACUGACUCGGAUCUUUGAAUCUCGUUCAGCAAAAUUAACAAAUCUUUUUUCAAGUCAUUUCUUUCAUUUCCGCAGAAUAUAAUUAAAAUGUUACAUAUUAAAUUCACCAACACAUCUAGUACUUGCACAAACGAUCACAUUUGGAAUUAAAAAUAAAAUAUAGGCUAUUGCAGCCAAGGCCAAAUUAUGAGAAACAGAAAUGAUUAAUUAAUAGCUUAGCAUUAGGUCUUCAGG
Ictalurus punctatus (channel catfish) is the source of this 3239-nucleotide long non-coding RNA. RefSeq lists it as uncharacterized. The record is from RefSeq and is a predicted model, not a curated record. The transcript is spliced from 2 exons. Lineage: Eukaryota; Metazoa; Chordata; Actinopteri; Siluriformes; Ictaluridae.